Molecule: transfer RNA, 86 nt
Filed under: Pseudoxanthomonas broegbernensis
Lineage: Bacteria; Pseudomonadati; Pseudomonadota; Gammaproteobacteria; Lysobacterales; Lysobacteraceae
Description: tRNA-Leu
Rfam family: tRNA
About the family: Transfer RNA (tRNA) molecules are approximately 80 nucleotides in length. Their secondary structure includes four short double-helical elements and three loops (D, anti-codon, and T loops).
Source: RNAcentral
GCGAAAGUGGCGGAAUUGGUAGACGCACUGGAUUUAGGUUCCAGCGGGCAGCCCCCGUGCGGGUUCGAGUCCCGCCUUUCGCACCA